GCUGAGGAAGGGACGGACGGACGGACUGAGCGCUCUUGAGCACUGAAGAUCUUCCAGCGAUGCCAGCAGAAGAUGUGCUGGAGUACAGAGGUGUGGCUUUGCAGCAUGAGGAGAGGGCGUUCCUGUGUGUGACCAAUCUUUCCUGCAAAGCAACUGCUUGGUGCUGAUAGUGAGAACUGGAAGGCAACGUGUGCUGGAAGUCUUGCAGAUAUCUAAAAGCCUCAGGAUUUGGUAGCGUCACAUCUUCGCUCAUCGCCGAGACUAUUUGCCACGAGAUUUCUGACUUCAGAAGAAGGGCAUCCGCAUUAAAAAGAAAUCUGAAGAUUGUCUAAUGUGAGUUUGUGAGAGAAUCCUUAUCCAGGAAAUAGUGUUGUCAGCAGCACUGUUUGAAUUAAAGCUGCAGAUUGGAUCUACUCCUUCAUGCUGAUCUCAACUUUUAUGUAGGACAUAAAUUGAAUACAUUACAUUUUCUAACACGCCAGGCCAGCAG
This is a long non-coding RNA of Lagopus leucura (white-tailed ptarmigan), 490 nucleotides long. RefSeq lists it as uncharacterized. Lineage: Eukaryota; Metazoa; Chordata; Aves; Galliformes; Phasianidae. The record is from RefSeq and is a predicted model, not a curated record. The transcript has 3 exons.